CACCCCACACCCUCACUUUAGAGCUGGACGUGGUAGCAGGAGCCUAGAACCCCUGCACCUGGAAUAAUGAGGCAAGAUCACAAACCUGGGCUGCAUAGUCCUUUCCCCGUCUCAAAAGCAAACAAAAAUGUACAUGAGUAUACUACACAGUAUACUUCUCCAGUAGAAUGUUUGGAUUUAAACAUUAUUGAUUCUCUUUCUUUCUUAUUUACAUUUAUUUAUUGCAGAGAGAGCCACACAGGAGUGUGCCAUAAGUCCUGUGGAAGUCACAGGACAGCCUGGAGAAGUUGGUUCUCUCUAUCCACCCUGAGGGUCCAAGGGCUGGAAUUCAAAUCGUCAGUCUGGUCCACAAGAGUCUGAGGAAUCAUGGAUUGCAGCAGUGUUGACUUGUUGUGUACUGUUUUAGGUUUUUCUUCCAUGCCAGGCUAAAACAGAAGUCAGCAAAUCAUUACCGGCUGUCCACAUUCAGUUGGUAGCUAGUUGGUAGGUCACUGAGUUAAGAAUGUUUGACAUGUUUAAAUGGUUGAAAAUUAAAAUAACAUUACAUGAACUGUGAAACAUCAAAUUCUAGUUUCACUGUCUAUAAAGAUUUGAAUUUUGUUACAUUCUACAGAAACAUUCCUGAUUUUGCCACUUUACCCACAGAAGCUAUAAUAUUUACUAUCUAACUAUAGUUUUCCAACCUGGGUUGUAGAAAGACAAAAACAUAAACUCAAACAGGCACAAUGUUUAACCAUCAUUUUUAAGAACCCAAAGCUACUUCUUGCCUUUCUGGUAAAGGGGAAAUGUAAAAAUGUGAGAUGGAACAAGGGGAGGAAGAAGGCCUCAGAGAGAGAAAUGGGAACUUUUAGAAACCAAAUCCUGCAAGGACAGGGUCCACCAUGUGCACCCACUGUUCAUUGCCAAGGACAAGGUCGACCAUGUGCACACACUGUUCAUUGCCAAGGACAGGUGUUACGAUAAAUCUUUCCACCAAAACCACCUGAGCCCUACUGCCACAUGGGCGGUCUCUGCCACCCGAGUUCUGCCUGCCUCAUGGAUGGACAAAAUAAUAGAGACAUAUUAGGUACAAAGCUGCUUGGCCAAUGACUAGGAUUCCUCAUCUGUUAGCUCAGUCUUAAUUAUCAUAAACCCAUAUAUUUUAUAAGACUUAUCUUAUAGAGGAUGCCUUUCGCUGGCACCCUCUCUUGCUCACAUGGCGCCGAUGGAGGAG
RNAcentral lists this long non-coding RNA (1213 nucleotides) under Cricetulus griseus (Chinese hamster). RNAcentral's name for it is "lncRNA (ENSCGRG00015039920.1)". Lineage: Eukaryota; Metazoa; Chordata; Mammalia; Rodentia; Cricetidae. The record is from RNAcentral.